Molecule: ribosomal RNA, 433 nt
Filed under: uncultured bacterium
Lineage: Bacteria
Description: partial 16S ribosomal RNA
Rfam family: Bacterial small subunit ribosomal RNA
Source: RNAcentral
AACGAACGCUGGCGGCAUGCCUAACACAUGCAAGUCGAACGAGACCUUCGGGUCUAGUGGCGCACGGGUGCGUAACGCGUGGGAACCUGCCCUUAGGUUCGGAAUAACUCCCCGAAAGGGGUGCUAAUACCGGAUAAUGUCUUCGGACCAAAGAUUUAUCGCCUUUGGAUGGGCCCGCGUUGGAUUAGCUAGUUGGUAGGGUAAAAGCCUACCAAGGCGACGAUCCAUAGCUGGUCUGAGAGGAUGAUCAGCCACACUGGGACUGAGACACGGCCCAGACUCCUACGGAAGGCAGCAGUGGGGAAUAGUGGACAAUGGGCGAAGGUCUGAUGCAGCAAUGCCGCGUGAGUGAUGAAGGCCUUAGGGUUGUAAAGCUCUUUUACCCGGGAUGAUAAUGACAGUACCGAGAGAAUAAGCUCCGGCUAACUCCGUG